RNAcentral lists this ribosomal RNA (511 nucleotides) under Vibrio sp. 2B3S70. RNAcentral describes it as "bacterial SSU rRNA". It matches the Rfam family "Bacterial small subunit ribosomal RNA", at positions 382 to 885 of the family's 1533-position model. Lineage: Bacteria; Pseudomonadati; Pseudomonadota; Gammaproteobacteria; Vibrionales; Vibrionaceae. The record is from RNAcentral.
CCUGAUGCAGCCAUGCCGCGUGUGUGAAGAAGGCCUUCGGGUUGUAAAGCACUUUCAGCAGUGAGGAAGGUGGUGUGCUUAAUACGUACAUCAUUUGACGUUAGCUGCAGAAGAAGCACCGGCUAACUCCGUGCCAGCAGCCGCGGUAAUACGGAGGGUGCGAGCGUUAAUCGGAAUUACUGGGCGUAAAGCGCAUGCAGGUGGUUUGUUAAGUCAGAUGUGAAAGCCCGGGGCUCAACCUCGGAAGGUCAUUUGAAACUGGCAAACUGGAGUACUGUAGAGGGGGGUAGAAUUUCAGGUGUAGCGGUGAAAUGCGUAGAGAUCUGAAGGAAUACCAGUGGCGAAGGCGGCCCCCUGGACAGAUACUGACACUCAGAUGCGAAAGCGUGGGGAGCAAACAGGAUUAGAUACCCUGGUAGUCCACGCCGUAAACGAUGUCUACUUGGAGGUUGCGGUCUUGAACUGUGGCUUUCGGAGCUAACGCGUUAAGUAGACCGCCUGGGGAGUACGG